AUUUAUAUAAUAUAUUUAGUAUAUUUGACUUCCAAUCAAAAAGUUUAAAUUUAAUUUAAUAUAAAUA
This 67-nucleotide transfer RNA is filed under the name Dodona dipoea. RNAcentral's name for it is "tRNA-Gly". The record is from RNAcentral. Lineage: Eukaryota; Metazoa; Arthropoda; Insecta; Lepidoptera; Riodinidae.